Molecule: ribosomal RNA, 253 nt
Filed under: uncultured bacterium
Lineage: Bacteria
Description: partial 16S ribosomal RNA
Rfam family: Bacterial small subunit ribosomal RNA
Source: RNAcentral
UACAGAGGGGGCAAGCGUUGUUCGGAAUUACUGGGCGUAAAGGGCGCGUAGGCGGCCUGUUAAGUCGAACGUGAAAUCCCCGGGCUCAACCCGGGAACUGCGUCCGAUACUGGCAGGCUUGAAUUCGGGAGAGGGAUGUGGAAUUCCAGGUGUAGCGGUGAAAUGCGUAGAUAUCUGGAGGAACACCGGUGGCGAAGGCGGCAUCCUUGACCGGUAUUGACGCUGAGGCGCGAAAGCCAGGGGAGCAAACGGG